RNAcentral lists this non-coding RNA (949 nucleotides) under Chlamydoselachus anguineus (frilled shark). RNAcentral's name for it is "12S ribosomal RNA". It matches the Rfam family "Bacterial small subunit ribosomal RNA". Lineage: Eukaryota; Metazoa; Chordata; Chondrichthyes; Hexanchiformes; Chlamydoselachidae. The record is from RNAcentral.
UAAAAGGUUUGGUCCUAGCCUCAGUAUUAAUUUUUAACUAAAAUUAUACAUGCAAGUUUCAGCACCCCUGUGAGAAUGCCCUUAUUAAUUUAUUAAUUAAUAAGGAGCUGGUAUCAGGCACACAACAUGUAGCCCAAGACACCUUGCUAAGCCACACCCCCAAGGGUUUCCAGCAGUAAUAAACAUUGACUUAUAAGCGUAAGCUUGAAUCAAUUAAAGUUAUUAGGGUUGGUAAAUCUCGUGCCAGCCACCGCGGUUAUACGAGUAACCCAAAUUAAUACUUUUCCGGCGUAAAGAGUGGUUAAAGAAAAAAACAACUAAAGUUAAGACACCAUCAAGCUGUUAUACGCAUUUAUGAGUGGAAUAACCAAUAACGAAAGUGACUUUAUAAUAUUAAAAUCUUGAUGCCACGACAGUUAGACCCCAAACUGGGAUUAGAUACCCCACUAUGCCUAACCACAAACUUAAAUAAUAAUUUACCCUAUUAUUCGCCAGAGUACUACAAGCGCUAGCUUAAAACCCAAAGGACUUGGCGGUGCUUCAGACCCUCCUAGAGGAGCCUGUUCUAUAAUCGAUAAUCCCCGUUAAACCUCACCACCCCUUGCCAUUACCGCCUAUAUACCGCCGUCGUCAGCUCACCCUAUGAAGGAUAAAAAGUAAGCAAAAAGAAUUUAACUUCUACACGUCAGGUCAAGGUGUAGCGGAUGGGAUGGAAAGAAAUGGGCUACAUUUUCUAUUAAGAAAAUACGGAUAGUAAACUGAAAAAUUACUUCAAGGUGGAUUUAGCAGUAAGAAGAAACAAGAAUAUUCUUCUGAAAAUGGCUCUGAAGCGCGCACACACCGCCCGUCACUCUCCUCACCAAAAUCUCCACUCUUAUAUAAAAAGAUUACUUUGAUAAGAGGAGGCAAGUCGUAACAUGGUAAGUGUACUGGAAAGUGCACUUGGAAU